This 84-nucleotide transfer RNA is filed under the name Minisyncoccota bacterium. RNAcentral describes it as "tRNA-Leu". It matches the Rfam family "tRNA". Rfam says of the family: Transfer RNA (tRNA) molecules are approximately 80 nucleotides in length. Their secondary structure includes four short double-helical elements and three loops (D, anti-codon, and T loops). Lineage: Bacteria; Bacillati; Minisyncoccota. The record is from RNAcentral.
GGGGAUGUGGUGAAACUGGCAGACACGCAGCGUUCAGGGCGCUGUAACCGCAAGGUUAUGGGAGUUCAAAUCUCCCCAUCCCCA